GAGUGUAUAGCUCAAGUGGUAGACAGAGCACAUGCUUAGCACGCAAGAGGUCCUGGGUUCGAUCCCCAGUACCUCU
RNAcentral lists this transfer RNA (76 nucleotides) under Camelus bactrianus (Bactrian camel). It matches the Rfam family "tRNA". From Rfam's summary of the family: Transfer RNA (tRNA) molecules are approximately 80 nucleotides in length. RNAcentral also lists the same sequence under 2 other names. Lineage: Eukaryota; Metazoa; Chordata; Mammalia; Artiodactyla; Camelidae. The record is from Rfam by way of RNAcentral.